UACGUAGGGUGCAAGCGUUAAUCGGAAUUACUGGGCGUAAAGCGUGCGCAGGCGGUUAUGUAAGACAGAUGUGAAAUGCCCGGGCUUAACCUGGGAACUGCAUUUGUGACUGCAUGGCUAGAGUGUGUCAGAGGGGGGUAGAAUUCCACGUGUAGCAGUGAAAUGCGUAGAUAUGUGGAGGAAUACCGAUGGCGAAGGCAGCCCCCUGGGUCAAGAUUGACGCUCAUGCACAGGAAAGCGUGGGGAGCAAACAGG
This 255-nucleotide ribosomal RNA is filed under the name uncultured bacterium. Its description in RNAcentral is "partial 16S ribosomal RNA". It matches the Rfam family "Bacterial small subunit ribosomal RNA", at positions 524 to 776 of the family's 1533-position model. The record is from RNAcentral.